Amphiprion ocellaris (clown anemonefish) is the source of this 703-nucleotide long non-coding RNA. RefSeq lists it as uncharacterized. Lineage: Eukaryota; Metazoa; Chordata; Actinopteri; Pomacentridae. The record is from RefSeq and is a predicted model, not a curated record. The transcript is spliced from 3 exons.
AAGAAGAUUCUCAGAGGGCGGAGCCAGAGAGCAGUGAUUGGUCAGACUGACUGAGAGCCAGAGAGCAGUGAUUGGUCAGACCAUAGAUAUACAGAAGACAGCGCGCUAGCGGAUGUAGUCUGCUAUAUAUAUAUAUCUAUGGUCGGCACGUCUGGUAGCAUCUCAGGCUGCUGCUGACCUUGUUUUUGGAGUAAAACACGGUGGAAGCUGAAUUAGUGAGGAUGACUCCAGCUCCUGUCAUCUCUAAGCUCCUCACACAUCUUUACCUGCACAUGAGGAAAAUCACUCCUGUAGAAUGCAGAUGCACAAUGAGGGACGUCUGCAGAGACUGAGAAAGAGUCUCACCACAUCCUGACAUGAGGAAAAAGAUUUUAUUGAAGACUACAAUGAGAAAAACUAUCAGACAGCAGACGGCUGCAUUCAAGGUGAGCUCUGAACAUUUGAUCUGGAACAGGAAUUCAAUCACGGCAGCAUGAGCUUCAUUUCAGUCUGUAGCUGCUGAAUUCAUGGAUGAAUCAUCUGGCACUAGAGAGGAAGACCAUCAAACACCACGUCAGCUGAUGGAGGUCCAAGAGUCUCACCCAACAAACAACCUACAGAGUGAAGACCUCCAAUCUGAUUGGACGGCCUCCUAUUCAGCCACGUGUGAACAAAUGCCUCUAAGCUGAUUUGUUUUCUAAAAUAAAUCUAGUUUGAGUCCUAA